This 411-nucleotide ribosomal RNA is filed under the name Actinomycetes bacterium. RNAcentral's name for it is "Actinobacteria bacterium partial 16S ribosomal RNA". It matches the Rfam family "Bacterial small subunit ribosomal RNA", at positions 355 to 776 of the family's 1533-position model. The record is from RNAcentral. Lineage: Bacteria; Bacillati; Actinomycetota; Actinomycetes.
UGGGGAAUAUUGCACAAUGGGCGCAAGCCUGAUGCAGCGACGCCGCGUGGGGGAUGACGGCCUUCGGGUUGUAAACUCCUUUCGCUAGGGACGAAGCUUUUUGUGACGGUACCUAGAUAAGAAGCACCGGCUAACUACGUGCCAGCAGCCGCGGUAAUACGUAGGGUGCGAGCGUUGUCCGGAAUUACUGGGCGUAAAGGGCUCGUAGGUGGUUUGUCGCGUCGUCUGUGAAAUUCCGGGGCUUAACUCCGGGCGUGCAGGCGAUACGGGCAUAACUUGAGUACUGUAGGGGUAACUGGAAUUCCUGGUGUAGCGGUGAAAUGAGCAGAUAUCAGGAGGAACACCGAUGGCGAAGGCAGGUUACUGGGCAGUUACUGACGCUGAGGAGCGAAAGCAGGGGUAGCGAACAGG